UCGAGGGGCAGCGAGAUCAGUGCUUGCACUGAUUGUCGGCGACCGGCGCACGGGUGCGUAACGCGUAUGCAACCUACCCAUUACAGGGGGAUAACACUGAGAAAUCGGUACUAAUACCCCAUAACAUCCAGGGAGGCAUCUUCUUGGGUUGAAAACUCCGGUGGUAAUGGAUGGGCAUGCGUUGUAUUAGUUAGUUGGUGGGGUAACGGCUCACCAAGACCACGAUACAUAGGGGGACUGAGAGGUUAACCCCCCACAUUGGUACUGAGACACGGACCAAACUCCUACGGGAGGCAGCAGUGAGGAAUAUUGGUCAAUGGACGCAAGUCUGAACCAGCCAUGCCGCGUGCAGGAAGACGGCUCUAUGAGUUGUAAACUGCUUUUGUACGAGGGUAAACGCAGAUACGCGUAUCUGUCUGAAAGUAUCGUACGAAUAAGGAUCGGCUAACUCCGUGCCAGCAGCCGCGGUAAUACGGAGGAUUCAAGCGUUAUCCGGAUUUAUUGGGUUUAAAGGGUGCGUAGGCGGUCGGAUAAGUUAGAGGUGAAAUCCCGAGGCUCAACUUCGGAAUUGCCUCUGAUACUGUUUGGCUAGAGAGUAGUUGCGGUAGGCGGAAUGUAUGGUGUAGCGGUGAAAUGCUUAGAGAUCAUACAGAACACC
RNAcentral lists this ribosomal RNA (658 nucleotides) under uncultured bacterium. Its description in RNAcentral is "bacterial SSU rRNA". It matches the Rfam family "Bacterial small subunit ribosomal RNA", at positions 62 to 710 of the family's 1533-position model. The record is from RNAcentral.